GCCAACCUGAAGGAUGCAACUCUUGAAUUAAUGCAAACUCCUCUUCAUAUGUCUCAAACUAUUCGAUGAAUCAAACAAAUCAAUUCAUUAAUCAUCAUUCCGUAGAAACCAGGGCUGAGCCUUCGUAAAAAUAUCCAUAAUGAUUACACUACUCGAGUUUCUUUAUGUUUAACUUUUAAACUUUUUAAAAUGAACCCCAAUAACGACGACAUUAGAUACACAAGAAAAGAUUGUUUAAGCAGACUAAACAUUCAUGAACACGUCAUACAAAGAGGUCAAUGAAUACGUUUUACUUCUCGGGGUCAAUCUGUACUCUAUUGGAAACAAAUUUAACUGAUCAGUAUCUUGUCUUUCUGAAUUGUGUGUUUUACUAGUCCUCUAUACAAAACAAAACACCCCAUACCUUUGGCGGAGUGGGAUUCCUUUUGUGUGCAAUGCCCCGAAUCCCAUUUCGCCCAAAAAUUUUGUACAGAGUAUAAACAAUACAAUUGCUACUACUCUUUUACUCAAUGUAAAUUCUGGACGUGGCUAUAACAGAGCUAAAUUCAUAUUUUAAAGUUCAGGUGAAACGCUCUGGUAUAGUGAAGACGACUUUAGCUAUUUAGUCUUAUUUAUCUAGGGAUACUUCUAAUCUACUCAAUUUGGACUAAUGAAAUACCUCGAUGUACUGUAUUGAAUUGAUCAGCCUAUCUAAAAAUAAAAAAUGCAAUACAAAUUAUUUUUUGAACGAAAAAUUGUGGGGCUACAGUGUCAAAUAUUCGUUUACAUAUAAAAUAUGUAGUUGCUAGAAAUUAUGCAUUAAAAAGUCGUUUUUCUUGGAGCUAGCCAAACUUAUUUGGAAACAGUGUGUGGUUUUACAUUGAUACCAAAUAUUUUAUACUGAAAAACUCAUAUCUUAAUCAAUAUUUAAUUUCAAUGAAUACACAAAACAUGGAUCUUUAUAUAAGAGAUUUUAUGCUAUUUAAGUUUUAUUUUGUAAUGAUUCAUUCAUAGUUCCUAAGCAUGGACAUUUUUAUACCACUUUUUUUUAUCAAGCAACUUACCAAAACAAAUAUAUUUGACCAAUCAAUUUACCAGUUCGUGAGUUUUGUUUCCAGAUUUGGAUCACAAUCUUUUAUCGCAUGAUGUCAGCAGAUACGAGAAAUAUAUUUAGAAGUAAGGUCGUCUUAUGCUUUCAUUUUAAUCUAAGUAUUACAGACGACAUCUAAUGUCUUAUCUGUUAUUGUUAAUGUAUAAACGGAUUUAGUAUACUAAUCUUAAUCUGAAAGGCAGCUUCUAGUAUGGAAAAUCUUCCUUAACAUUGUGAUAUAUUUGUAAACUCGUGAAAAUAAAUUUUGAGUGUUAACA
This is a long non-coding RNA of Eurytemora carolleeae, 1347 nucleotides long. RefSeq lists it as uncharacterized. The transcript has 2 exons. NCBI's taxonomy places the organism in Eukaryota, Metazoa, Arthropoda, Copepoda, Calanoida, Temoridae. The record is from RefSeq and is a predicted model, not a curated record.